AAGGAGAUGCAUGGAUGCGUGUGUCAGAGAGGGAGACUCCUUUCCAGUCGCCUCCUUAGGUCACUCUGGCCAGUCUGUCUAUACCAUGUGGGCAGUGGGUCUCAAGUCAGACUUAUUUUUGAAGACAUGGGUUGGUACUAGGCUGCUCUCCCAGAGAUCUCAACUGGCUUCUUUCUUGCUAUCUGUCGGAAGGCAGGACCCCUAUGCUGAAGUCUGUCAAUAAGCAAGUCCAGGACCCCAGCUGGGGAAUGGUGCUACCCAGAGUGGAGGCAUCUUCCCACAUCAGUCAAUGAAAUCAAGAUCAUCUCCCAGAGACAUGCCCAGAGGACGGUCUCCCAGGUGACAUGGCGACACUCGUCAUCUUGCAGACUGCGCUGAGAAUUGAACCUAGGACCUCAUGUCUGCCAAGCAAGAGCUCUACCGUUGAGCUACAGUUCCAGCUGUUUUCAUCUAUUUUGAAGCCUAUAAUCAAGAGUAUGUAGUUUUUGGAUAGUUGUGACGUCAUGUUGAAUUGGCCACCCAUCAUCAUUAUGAAAUGGUUUUAUUGACCUCUCAUUCUCAAAGUCUCUUUUUCUGACUUUGACAGAGUGAGCUUGUCUUUCUUGAGAUCAGUGUUAAUAAACGCCCCUCCCAUAUAUUUAGUGGGUUUUAUUAUUUUGACUCUUGCUUGUUUUUUUUUAAGACAAGGCUAGCCCCAGCUAACCUUGAACUAACAGAGACCCACCUACCUUAAUCUCCCAAAUGUGCCAUGAUGCCCAGCCCCCAAUACUUUGAUUUUAACCUGUCUGUGUCUCGGGUAUUUAAGAAGCAUUUUCUGUAGUAGCUUGUAGCAGGCUAUGGUUUUUAUAAAUUAGUCUUUGCCUUUUAAUGACAAAUGGAUAGAAAUGGAUAUGACAACAUGGAAGCCAAAUGUAAUAUGUAGACUCUUUACUUUCCAUGAGAUUUUUAAUAGAAUUAAAUUGAUUUAUGUCUACCACCCUAA
Mesocricetus auratus (golden hamster) is the source of this 982-nucleotide long non-coding RNA. RefSeq lists it as uncharacterized. Lineage: Eukaryota; Metazoa; Chordata; Mammalia; Rodentia; Cricetidae. The record is from RefSeq and is a predicted model, not a curated record. The transcript is spliced from 4 exons.